AGAGUUUGAUCAUGGCUCAGAAUCAACGCUGGCGGCGCGCUUAACACAUGCAAGUCGGACGAGAAAGUGGAGCAAUCCAUGAGUAAAGUGGCGUACGGGUGAGUAACACGUGGGUAAUCUACCUUUUGGUGGGGAAUAACCCUGGGAAACCGGGGCUAAUACCGCAUAAGCCUGGGAAGGGAAAGCAGCAAUGCGCUGGGAGAGGAGCCCGCGGCCGAUUAGCUAGUUGGUGAGGUAAGAGCUCACCAAGGCAACGAUCGGUAGCCGGCCUGAGAGGGCACACGGCCACACUGGCACUGAAACACGGGCCAGACUCCUACGGGAGGCAGCAGUGGGGAAUCUUGCACAAUGGGGGCAACCCUGAUGCAGCGACGCCGCGUGAGCGAUGAAGCCCUUCGGGGUGUAAAGCUCUUUCGGCAGGGACGAUAAUGACGGUACCUGCAGAAGCAGCUGCGGCUAACUACGUGCCAGCAGCCGCGGUAAUACGUAGGCAGCGAGCGUUGUUCGGAGUUACUGGGCGUAAAGGGUGCGUAGGCGGCCGAUUAAGUUUGUCGUGAAAUCUCCCGGCUUAACUGGGAGGGUGCGGCGAGUACUGACCGGCUAGAGUGUGGGAGAGGAGAGUGGAAUUCCUGGUGUAGCGGUGAAAUGCGUAGAUAUCAGGAGGAACACCGGCGGUGUAGACGGCUCUCUAGACCAUAAC
Molecule: ribosomal RNA, 700 nt
Filed under: uncultured bacterium
Lineage: Bacteria
Description: bacterial SSU rRNA
Rfam family: Bacterial small subunit ribosomal RNA
Source: RNAcentral